GGGGAUGUACAGAAUCGAUGAGGAAUUUGCACGUUUACAAAUGGUUAGGGCGUACUAGAACGUCACUCAGGAAAAAUCUAACUGCAGAUGAACAAUCACAUGCAGCCGAAGCUUUUGCCUACAGCAAUGCUUAUAGCAAUAACAUGCAAUUUGCGUUUGCCUAAGUAAAACUUUAGCCUCGAUAUUAGUUUCCCUUGAUUCUACUAAUAUUUGAGGUAAACCAAUCAAGGUGAGGCAACAUUACAUUUUCAGUUGGUAAUGAAGUCGAAAAACCCAUAACUGACUGUCAGACAGUAGUUUGUUUGUUUACUUUGUCCGACAUGCGUGAAAACAAUCUAUCCCUAACUAAACCUUUGUAUUUGUGUUUCUUCAGACGGGGGCUCAACACCCCCCAUCUCCACAC
Molecule: transfer-messenger RNA, 403 nt
Filed under: Candidatus Woesebacteria bacterium
Lineage: Bacteria; Candidatus Woeseibacteriota
Also listed under: 1 other name
Rfam family: transfer-messenger RNA
About the family: Bacterial tmRNA, also known as 10Sa RNA or SsrA, is named for its dual tRNA and mRNA-like properties.
Source: RNAcentral